GAUUGGUGCUGGUGACCAGGGCCACAUGUUUGGCUAUGCAACAGAUGAGACCCCUGAAUUAAUGCCUCUCAGUCACGUGCUUGCAACUAAACUUGGUGCCCGUCUUACAGAAGUCCGCAAGAAUGGCACCUGCGCCUGGUUGAGGCCUGAUGGCAAGACCCAAGUUACUGUUGAGUAUAGCAAUGACAAUGGUGCCAUGGUUCCAAUUAGGGUACACACUGUUCUUAUCUCCACCCAACACGAUGAGACCGUUACCAAUGAUGAGAUUGCCCGCGACCUUAAGGAGCAUGUCAUCAAACCAGUCAUCCCAGAGAAGUACCUUGAUGAGAAUACUAUUUUCCACCUUAACCCAUCUGGCCGAUUCGUUAUUGGUGGACCUCAUGGUGAUGCUGGUCUCACUGGUCGUAAAAUCAUCAUCGACACUUAUGGUGGUUGGGGUGCUCAUGGUGGUGGUGCUUUCUCGGGCAAAGACCCAACCAAGGUCGACAGGAGUGGUGCAUACAUUGUAAGGCAGGCUGCAAAGAGUAUCGUAGCUAGUGGACUUGCUCGUAGAUGCAUCGUGCAGGUAUCUUAUGCCAUCGGUGUGCCUGAGCCAUUGUCUGUAUUCGUUGACACCUAUGGCACUGGAAAGAUCCCUGACAGGGAAAUUUUGAAGAUCGUUAAGGAGAACUUUGACUUCAGACCUGGAAUGAUGUCCAUUAACUUGGAUUUGAAGAGGGGUGGCAAUAGAAGAUUCUUGAAAACUGCUGCCUAUGGUCACUUUGGACGUGAUGACCCCGAUUUCACAUGGGAAGUUGUCAAGCCCCUCAAGUGGGAAAAGCCCCAAGACUAAUAAGUGCUUGCCUAUGUUUUUGUUCUUUGUUGUUUGCUUGUGGCUUUAGAAUCUCCCCCGUGUUUGCUUGUUUGUCUUUGUAUUUUCUCUUUUGACCCUUUAUUUUGUUAUUGUCCUGUUUCCAUUGUGUUGGAUGGAUAUCUUAGGCCUUGGAAUAUUAAGGAAAGAAAAAGAAAUAUUAUUAUAUACUUGAAAAUUAGUGCAUUUGUGGAAUGAUUUUCUUUAUUGAAAAAAAGAUGCUAAAUGAUGAGUGCAAAUGUGCACUAGGAAAACAAGCAGCUGUGACGUUUUCUGUGUUAUCAUUCGUUGGCUGACAAUGAAAUUACUGUGUUG
Molecule: unclassified non-coding RNA, 1165 nt
Filed under: Hevea brasiliensis (rubber tree)
Lineage: Eukaryota; Viridiplantae; Streptophyta; Magnoliopsida; Malpighiales; Euphorbiaceae
Source: RNAcentral